CAGAGGGUCGUCAAAAACAAAAAUGCAUCUCGGGUGGUGGCCUCUGCCCAAAUAGCUGUCCAAAAACUUUCUGCCUUGGGCUAUAUGCCCAUAUUAUUUAUCAGCCAGAGGCACAAGGGCACAGGCAAGUUGAUGGCAGAUGUAGUCACGCAUCUGCCACCGACGCAAAACAACACACGUUUCUUAACCAGCAUGAAGAGGGCAUAUGACUUCAUAAUCAAACUGGAUGAUGUGCCCCAGCCCCAGCCCCAGCAAGACCAGCCCCUCCACCUAGACCAACCCCCUACCCCAAGACCAGCCCCUGCCCCUAGACCAGCUAAUCCCACAAGACCAGCCCCCAGACCAGCCUCUGCCCCUAGACCAGCCCCAGAAAGACCAGCUCCUGCCCCUAGACCAGCUAAUCCCACAAAACCAGCCCGUAGACCAGCCCCAGCAAGACCAGCCCCUGCCCCUAGACCAGCUAAUCCCACAAGACCAGCCUACCCCAACAGACCAGCAAAUUAUUAAACUUGAACUAUUUACGAUCGACUCACAGGCUCAGCAGCAUGUGGAGCCUCUACCACCCAGGAAAAGACAAACCCCACUAUCCACCCCGGGCCUACCAUCCACCCCAGGCCAAGGCAAACGAGCC
This is a long non-coding RNA of Cyprinus carpio carpio, 631 nucleotides long. The record is from Ensembl. Lineage: Eukaryota; Metazoa; Chordata; Actinopteri; Cypriniformes; Cyprinidae.